RNAcentral lists this long non-coding RNA (4656 nucleotides) under Ovis aries (sheep). RNAcentral describes it as "lncRNA (ENSOARG00000025481.1)". Lineage: Eukaryota; Metazoa; Chordata; Mammalia; Artiodactyla; Bovidae. The record is from RNAcentral.
AUGAAGCCAGGCUGUGGGGGUGCGGGGCCAGCUUUGGGGUCCUGGGGGUAUGGGCACAGUGGCUGCACAGGGACGCCUGUCAUGGGGAUCUCCUGGCCUGGUUGGGGGACAAGGACCAGCACUCAGGGCACCGCCUCCAUGGGGCGCCGGCCCUGCCCCUCUGCCGCCAGACCCUGCUUGGCCGAGUGCAGCAGGGCGCCCGGAGGUGGCCCCGGCUGGUUGGUCUGGGCUCAGCAGGGUGCCCGCUCCGGGUUUCAGAGACCUCCUGGGCCAGAUAGCACUGGCCUGGGGGGCGUCCCGCCCUGCCCCGGCCUAGCAGAGCUGCCCCCGAGGGGUCCUCUCACACUGACCCCCACACGGGGUCACCGUUCCCACACCCACCAGGGCUGGGCCUGUGGGCAGGCACACGAUUUUGCACACGGAGCACACCCCAUGUCGCUCGAGCGCCAGGCCUGGCCCGCGGGUUUCCUGAGAGACGUGCACGCGCACGGCACACGGCGCACGGUGCAGGUACAUCCGCGUACCCAGGCUUCACACGUGUCCCUGCGCUCUGGCUUCCGGGGUGACGGGCGGGCAGGUGUGUGAGACCACUGCAGGGGUUGGCAGUUCUCCAAAAGGGAUGGGGUAGAUGUGACCAGGAGGAGCCCCAGGGCUCUUCAGGAGGCGAAGGCAGCCAGACAAGAGCCAGAGAAAAGCUACUCCCAGCAGCUCCUGAAGCCAGCAAGUGGAGUCAGGGGGUGGGGUGCGAUGGAGGUGCGAGCGGAGCAACCUUGCAACAGAAUCACAAGGUUGUCAGUUCAGCAUAAAGACAUGUGUUUAGAAACGCCUGGGACCCCCUCAAGACCAAGUGCGGUUAACAAGAGGGCAUCCGAUGGUGGUCAGGCCUGCACCCCAAACACUCGAGAUGCGGUAACAGAGCUCUGGCGUCUGCAGGCGUCUUGCCUCACGGCCUUCUCCGUCGGUGUGCUUUUUUGUCCACACCAUGCCACAGAGCAUGUGGGAGGGAGCCCAGGCCUCCACGGUGAAAGCGCCGAUCCCAAUCACUAGGCCACCAGGGAACCCCCUUGUCCCACAGUUUAAUCAGACUGAGUUCCAAGCAUCCAGACUAAAGAAAGGAGCGUUUUGAUGGGAACCUUGGGGGACGGUGGACCUGGACAAGCAGCCGGGGCCAGGGACAGGGAGGCGGCCAGGGCCAGCACGACCCCCUCCUCCAGGAGCGCAGGGCAGCAGCACCUGCCUCUGGUCAGGUAUGGGCCUUCCCACGCUCCUUCCUGGGUCUGGAGCCUCAGGAGGGCAUAAACCCAAGCUCAGCGAGCUGAGGACAGCCUGUCCUGCUGCCCCGCAGAAGCGUCUCACAGGGACAGCCUGCAGAAAGUACAGCUCAGAUCAGACCGGCACGGUUCCCCACGAAGCCUGAGUCCACCGGGCACCCUGUGGUUCCAGGGCGGGGCACUUGGUGGACAGGCCGCGAGCAGGGGGCCUGAAGAGGGGAGGCGCUGGGGUCUGCUGCCUGCCCGCCACCGGCUGCCUGUGUCCCUGGGCCAGGCCCUCGUUUGGAAAAUCAUCUAGAAAGCUUUCAGCUUGCGGGCUCUGCUCAGAGACAUGUGGGCCGUGACUGUGGCCGCAGGGCGGGGAGCACUGGCUGCUGGCCGGGGGCAGGCCUGCUGAGCUGAGGGUUCUGCCACGGGUGGUAACAGAUCCACCGUCUGGCCUCAAACCUGGAAGUAUCAGGUGCCCUGGGAACCAGAUACAGCAGGAAAUGAGCAGAAACACCCAAACACAGGGUAACAGACACCCUGGCGAGGGCUGUAGGCGGCUUCCCGCAGAGUAUCACCCAGAGCUAGUGCCCCCACCGCCCGGGACACCUGUGACUUUCUUUAAAGUCAAGUCAAUCUCAGACACAUCUGCACACUUGCUGCAGAGCCUCCGGAGCACAGCCUUUGCCAUGAAAAGACUGCGACCCAGAAGGAAGAGGGCUUUACACAGCUGUGUGAGAAGAGGCAGAGCAUGCGAUGGUUGGAUGGCAUCACCAAUGCAGCGGACACGCAUCUGAGCGAACUCCAGGAGACAGUGAGGACAGGGCAGGCUGGCUGCAGUCCACGGUCACCAAGAACACACACACGGACGAAGGAGCCUCACGACGCGCCGUGUGGGGCCACACUGACUGGACACAGGGACGCUAACUGCUGUCUGUUGUUUCCAUUAUAUUAAAUACUGGUGUGUGUGUGUGUGCGUGCGUGUGUGUGUGUGUGUGUGUGUGCAGGCUGCUGGUGCUAAGGAACCUGCCUGUCAAUGCAGGAGAUGCCCGAGACAAGGGUUCAAUCCCUGGGUGGGGAAGAGCCCCUGGAGGAGGAAAAGGCAACCCACUCCAUGAUUCUUGCCUAGAGAACCCGAGGCAACCCACUCCAUGAUUCUUGCCUAGAGACCCCGCAGGACAGAGGAGCCUGGUGGGCUACAGUCCACAGGCUUGCAAGUCAGACAUGACUGAGCGACUCAGCAUGCGUGCACACGCGUGAGCGUGCACACAGCUUGGCACACACACGCAUGUCCUCACUCUGUCCACUGAAGGGGCCUAGGGGCAGUGAUGCCCCGGGACCAGGGAGACCACCAGCAUCAAGUCCUGGUUUCUGACACCAUCCUCCCGUGAGAGGACAGGACCCCUCGGAGAAAUGGCUGGUCUUGAACAGGGAAUAUGCAACAUGCACCGGGAGCACUUCCUAGGGCCAGAAAGGAGGAAACCGAGAACAACCAGGUGUGUCAAAGGGACACAGGCACCAACUGAAAGCUCUCUACCAAAAGCCAGAGCUGAAACAGUUUGAUCAAAAUAAAAAACACAGGAUCAGAGCGUAACUCAAAGAAUGAAGCAAACAAUCACGAGUGCCCACUGGCCUACCCAGAGAAACGGAGAGCGGAGAAAGCUCCUGCGCAGGAGGGCUCACGUGGACACUCUCCUGGCGGGAGGUGGGACCUAACUGCUCGCCUCCCUGAGUGAGGCUGUGCAGGGUAAGCACCUUCCGGGGGGCGCACCCGGGAGAAAAGGGGAGGGGGACUUUGCUGGGGAAACACGACCACGCCGUCAGCCAGACGAUAAACGACGGCAGAUCACGCUGGGAGUAAACACCCUUCAGAGGUCGUGAGAACGACACCUUGCCUCCGUGGUCAUCGAGCCUCCGGCAACCAUCAGAGCCGUGCUGAAGGACACGCCACAAGCUGCCUGGCAGUCCUCUUCAGGGCCAUCCCACCAAGGAAAGACUGAGAAACAGGCACGGCCCAGAGCAGCCCAAGGGCACAGGAGGCCAAAUGGACUGUGGCCCUUGGAUGGGAUCCUGACACAGAAGGGCACGAGGUGAAACCCAAGGCAAACCCAAACCAAGCGUGGCCCUCCGCUAACGAUGGUGCUUCAGCCCUGGCUCAGUGACUGACAAGCAGGCCACAGGGGCCAGGACACAGCCACACGGGAACUGGGCGUGGGGCCCGCGACAGCUCCUGGCCGCAUCCUCGCCACUGCCUAUGAGUCUGAAGCUAUUCUGAAAUGCUCAAGUUUAUUAAAAGACAAAAAGCCGCACAGGAUCCUGAAGCACAGCGGGGGCACGUAUCACGGGACACGGGCGAUGAUGAGGACUCAGCCCUGCCAGCGAGCGGUUUGGAGUCUGACCAGGGAGGACGGGGCAGCUGCCUGGCAAGAGGCCGAGGAGUGGAAACCAACAGCGUCUCCCGACAGGCACUGUCAGGGGAGGGCUGCCUGGAGGGGGGAGACCCCGGAGAGGUUCACCCUUGGGGUGGGGGUGGGGCGUCAAGAAGUAUCUGAAAAGGAUGGGCAAGGCUUUCUAGGAGGGUGCUGGAGGCAGCGGGUGUUUUAGGCCAGGACAUGGCUCAAUCCAAGACACAGAGACGGGAGAACUGGGGCAGGUCUGGGAACCGCAGAGCCCAGCGUAAGCACAGACAGGGCAGCAUCCCCCAGGGGCCCACGGACCACUGUCCUCCAGAGAGCCCCACACAAAGAGGAUCCCAGGCCACGCGGGGAUUCUGCACCCGCUCACCAGUUCCUGGGCCGUCACCAAGCUGCAGUGACUCCACAGGCUCUGAGAAGUCCUGCAAUAGAGAACCCCGUCUAGCCCUGUUCAGCUGGGACUUCCUAGAUGCACAAAACCGAGGGUCUUGUAUUUUUCAGCAGUCAAUUAACAAGUCUCACCCGACUUCCUCAGGGAAAUGCUGGCAGAUGGCUUGGGCAGAGAAGACAAAGGGGACGCCAGGAGGGCAGGGAGGUGUGCCCUAGGAGGCCUUGGGCAAGAAAUCAGAACGCUGUCCUGAGCAGCCUUGGGGCCCAGCCCGUGGGGGGCAACGCAGUCCCAGCUGUGCCCCAGGACAACACCCCCAGAGCAGGGCUGGGGGCGAGCCGGAGACGGGGACCCAGGAUGUUUCCAUGAGGGGUGACGGUGUGCGUUGAGACAACGGGGGUACUUCCCAGGUAGAAGCAACCAGACGGCUGAGUGGCUGAGCCAAAGUGGGGCCAGAGCCAAGGAGAGGGGACAGCAGAGGUGUGGGCCCAAGGCCGGGCCGCCGCCAGUCUGCACACACCCCCACCCGCCCCCCUCCCCUGCUCCUAAAGACCAAUCCCUUCGCGGUCUGUCCUUCAACUUCCUCGCUUGUGGGUCU